This 254-nucleotide ribosomal RNA is filed under the name uncultured bacterium. RNAcentral's name for it is "partial small subunit ribosomal RNA". It matches the Rfam family "Bacterial small subunit ribosomal RNA", at positions 26 to 286 of the family's 1533-position model. The record is from RNAcentral.
AGGACGAACGCUGGCGGCGUGCUUAACACAUGCAAGUCGAGCGGAAAGGCCUUUCGGGGUACUCGAGCGGCGAACGGGUGAGUAACACGUGAGUAACCUGCCCCCUACUUUGGGAUAACCCUCGGAAACGGGGCUAAUACCGGAUAUGACUUCCUGUGGCAUCAUGGGUGGUGGAAAGUUUUUCGGUGGGGGAUGGGCUCGCGGCCUAUCAGCUUGUUGGUGGGGUAAUGGCCUACCAAGGCGACGACGGGUAG